AUACGGAGGAUGCAAGCGUUAUCCGGAUUUAUUGGGUUUAAAGGGUGCGUAGGCGGUUUGCUAAGCGGGAGGUGAAAUGCCGGCGCUCAACGUCGGAAGUGCCUCCCGAACUGGUGGACUGGAAUGACUCUGCCGUGGGAGGAAUGUGUAGUGUAGCGGUGAAAUGCUUAGAGAUUACACAGAACACCGAUUGCGAAGGCAUCUCACGAAGGGUUGAUUGACGCUGAGGCACGAAAGCGUGGGGAUCAAACAGGAUUAGAUACCCUGGUAGUCCACGCAGUAAACGAUGAUGGCUAACCGCUGGUUUUUUCGGAUCAGUGGCUAAGCGAAAGCGAUAAGCCAUCCACCUGGGGAGUACGACCGCAAGGUUGAAACUCAAAUGAAUUGACGGGG
Molecule: ribosomal RNA, 393 nt
Filed under: uncultured bacterium
Lineage: Bacteria
Description: partial 16S ribosomal RNA
Rfam family: Bacterial small subunit ribosomal RNA
Source: RNAcentral